This 656-nucleotide ribosomal RNA is filed under the name Staphylococcus aureus. Its description in RNAcentral is "partial 23S ribosomal RNA". It matches the Rfam family "Bacterial large subunit ribosomal RNA", at positions 905 to 1561 of the family's 2925-position model. Lineage: Bacteria; Bacillati; Bacillota; Bacilli; Caryophanales; Staphylococcaceae. The record is from RNAcentral.
GAGCACUGUUUGGACGAGGGGCCCCUCUCGGGUUACCGAAUUCAGACAAACUCCGAAUGCCAAUUAAUUUAACUUGGGAGUCAGAACAUGGGUGAUAAGGUCCGUGUUCGAAAGGGAAACAGCCCAGACCACCAGCUAAGGUCCCAAAAUAUAUGUUAAGUGGAAAAGGAUGUGGCGUUGCCCAGACAACUAGGAUGUUGGCUUAGAAGCAGCCAUCAUUUAAAGAGUGCGUAAUAGCUCACUAGUCGAGUGACACUGCGCCGAAAAUGUACCGGGGCUAAACAUAUUACCGAAGCUGUGGAUUGUCCUUUGGACAAUGGUAGGAGAGCGUUCUAAGGGCGUUGAAGCAUGAUCGUAAGGACAUGUGGAGCGCUUAGAAGUGAGAAUGCCGGUGUGAGUAGCGAAAGACGGGUGAGAAUCCCGUCCACCGAUUGACUAAGGUUUCCAGAGGAAGGCUCGUCCGCUCUGGGUUAGUCGGGUCCUAAGCUGAGGCCGACAGGCGUAGGCGAUGGAUAACAGGUUGAUAUUCCUGUACCACCUAUAAUCGUUUUAAUCGAUGGGGGGACGCAGUAGGAUAGGCGAAGCGUGCGAUUGGAUUGCACGUCUAAGCAGUAAGGCUGAGUAUUAGGCAAAUCCGGUACUCGUUAAGGCUGAGC